Molecule: long non-coding RNA, 346 nt
Organism: Mustela erminea (ermine)
Lineage: Eukaryota; Metazoa; Chordata; Mammalia; Carnivora; Mustelidae
Exons: 3
Source: RefSeq, a predicted model, not a curated record
UCUCUUUUUCUCGAUGAGCCGGUGCGGCAGUUUGUAGGUCUCCUGCAAGGCGCACGGCGGGGCGGUGGGCGCCAGAGGAAGCGGGGUCAUGAUCACAUAAGGGGUUACAGUCUACAUUAAAGACAAACAGAUGGCUAUGUACACCACAACCUGGCACAUGGCCUCACCAUUAGUGUGUUCAGAAAGUUUGCUGACCUGUCCAAGAUGGCUACAGUCCCAGCCGACAUCCAGGAAGCAGAAUGCCCAGCUGAAGCAAAUCAACCCACAGAAUCCUGAGCAAUAAUCAAAUAGUUUGCUGUCUUAAAUCAUUAAGUUUUGAGAUGGAUUAUUACGCAGCAACAAUUGA